UCCAUAAAUCAACACCUUACGGAGAUCGAAUUAGAGGAUCAAAUUUGAGAGAGAUUGUAACCCAAAAUCAUCAAAUACAAAUAUUAUUUUGUGCACGUUGUUCUUGUCUCCUUCGUUUCAAGAUUAUUUCGUGUUUACACCCCCUUUACCUUGUUGAGUCAUAUUAGUUAGAAACUGAUUUAGUUUGUGUUUCUAAGUAUUUCGAACCAAGUUAAAACCAAAAUUCGUCCAAAAGUGUGUUUAGAGUCCAAAUCUGCCCAGUUUGUGUUUUUAGGCAGAUUUGAGCGUUUUUAGCUUGUUUUGAGUUCUUUGAGUUUGUUUUGAAUUCUUUGAGUCUAGUUUAGUGUUUUUAACUUUGUUUAUAUGUUUUUAAGUCAGUUUAGAGGUUAUUAGCAAGCCCUCAUAAUCCCUGGUCCAGAAUGAUCCCUACUUACAUUCUUUACUACAAUUGAUACAAGAGGGUUUUAAUUUGUGUGUUAAGUAAAUUUUCGCACCAAAUUUUUAGCGCCGUUGCCGGGGAUUAGCAACUUUGCUAAUCCCUUGUUAUUUCUUUUUGUAUAUUUUCGUGUCUUUUGUUUUUAGUUACUGACUUUGUUUCUGUUUGUGUUUUUUUGUUUGUUUGUUUUACUUUUGAUAUUUGAUUUAGUUUUGUUUCCUUGAUUUCAGGUACUAGAGAAGUAAGACAUGGAUUUUGCUACCAUUCCAGCUGAAUUGGGGAAACUUACUUCUCAAUUGUCACAAUAUGCCGAAAGGACCACAAUGCAAAGUGUCCCUACAUAUGGUGUGUCCUAUUGGCAAGGAUAUCCAACUCAUCAAUGUUCUCAAUUCGCUGCGAAUGAAGAUGCUUG
This 848-nucleotide long non-coding RNA is filed under the name Malus domestica (apple). RNAcentral's name for it is "long non-coding RNA (MDOM_LNC015160)". The record is from RNAcentral. Lineage: Eukaryota; Viridiplantae; Streptophyta; Magnoliopsida; Rosales; Rosaceae.